Molecule: ribosomal RNA, 341 nt
Filed under: uncultured Atopobium sp.
Lineage: Bacteria; Bacillati; Actinomycetota; Coriobacteriia; Coriobacteriales; Atopobiaceae
Description: bacterial SSU rRNA
Rfam family: Bacterial small subunit ribosomal RNA
Source: RNAcentral
AUACUCCAUAUUUGUCGCAUGGCGAAUAUGGGAAAGACUCCGCGGCAAAGGAUGGGCCCGCGGCCUGUUAGCUAGUUGGUGGGGUAGUGGCCUACCAAGGCAAUGAUGGGUAGCCGGGUUGAGAGACCGACCGGCCAGAUUGGGACUGAGACACGGCCCAGACUCCUACGGGAGGCAGCAGUGGGGAAUCUUGCACAAUGGGCGAAAGCCUGAUGCAGCGACGCCGCGUGCGGGAUGAAGGCCUUCGGGUUGUAAACCGCUUUCAGCAGGGACGAGGCCGCAAGGUGACGGUACCUGCAGAAGAAGCCCCGGCUAACUACGUGCCAGCAGCCGCGGUAAAU